GAUGAACGCUGGCGGCGUGCCUAAUACAUGCAAGUCGAGCGAACAGACGAGGAGCUUGCUCCUCUGACGUUAGCGGCGGACGGGUGAGUAACACGUGGAUAACCUACCUAUAAGACUGGGAUAACUUCGGGAUACCGGAGCUAAUACCGGAUAACAUGUUGAACCGCAUGGUUCAACAGUGAAAGACGGUCUUGCUGUCACUUAUAGAUGGAUCCGCGCCGCAUUAGCUAGUUGGUAAGGUAACGGCUUACCAAGGCAACGAUGCGUAGCCGACCUGAGAGGGUGAUCGGCCACACUGGAACUGAGACACGGUCCAGACUCCUACGGGAGGCAGCAGUAGGGAAUCUUCCGCAAUGGGCGAAAGCCUGACGGAGCAACGCCGCGUGAGUGAUGAAGGUCUUCGGAUCGUAAAACUCUGUUAUUAGGGAAGAACAAAUGUGUAAGUAACUAUGCACGUCUUGACGGUACCUAAUCAGAAAGCCACGGCUAACUACGUG
RNAcentral lists this ribosomal RNA (497 nucleotides) under uncultured bacterium. Its description in RNAcentral is "partial 16S ribosomal RNA". It matches the Rfam family "Bacterial small subunit ribosomal RNA", at positions 28 to 507 of the family's 1533-position model. The record is from RNAcentral.